Molecule: RNA transcript, 1664 nt
Organism: Bemisia tabaci
Lineage: Eukaryota; Metazoa; Arthropoda; Insecta; Hemiptera; Aleyrodidae
Source: RefSeq, a predicted model, not a curated record
AUGCCCUUAAAAAUGCAAAAAACGCGAUUGCGGCCGAAUGCGCCUCGUAUAUUUCAACGAUUGUAUCGAUUUUUUUAGGUGACUUGGCAACCACGCAAAAAGUCAAUUUCGGUUUUAAGGAACCAUCCUAGUUGCACGUAGUUGUUUAUGCGUUUCCAGUUCUCUCUGUUCUCAAGCAUGAUGUCCACUAGGUUGUCCGGGUUAAGGGUGCUUCCCAGUUCCACUUCCAGCGCAACUCGCUCCUCUAUGAUCUUACUGCACGUGAAAUAAGCGUGUUCCGCGUUGCCCUGUAGCCCUCCACACAGUAAGGGGAAUUAUUUCUAAACGGGACCUUCGAGGUUGAAAAAUCAACUUAACUUGUAUAUGAUAAAAUUUUGUGCACUGUAUAGGAAAAAUCUUCAAUUUUAUGAAAUGAGUUCACUUUUCAUUUCAAGUUCCUAGAUUCGCAAGGUUUUCCAGUUUUUCUGAAGGCAUGUCGAGACCAGUGAUUUUCGAGGUUAUUUUUGGAGUAAUUUUUAUUCAUGACACAUUGCAUCUUUAUGAUUUAAAAUCACAUGGAGUUACAGUUAGUUUCUUAAAAUAUCAAACAGCCUUCAAAAAGCAGAAAAGUCCAAAUAUAUGCAAUAUUUUUCCUCAUUUUGUGAAGGCAUGUGAAAAUGUAACGUCCGCAACAGAAAAGCUACUAAACUUUAUGCCAUUUAACGCAGGAGCCAGUUUAGAAGUUCGUGUUAAGUGAACGAUAGGACACGAUCUUCAUUGAUACUCCGGUAGUGUUAAAACGUAUUUAGAUACUUCAGUUAUCAUGUUAUUCAAAGUCGAAAAAGUGUAACGUCCGCAACGGAGAGGACAUUACAAGGCUCUAGCUAGAGAUCGUAUUUUAAAGAUAGAAACGUGGCUCUACCAUCACCUCAGAUAUUUACUUCGGAAAGACUCUCACAGCUAUUCGUACUGAAUUUAAGAAUGUGUUUGGAUUUGAUAUGUUCAUGUGAAAAUGCCUGGUUUUUGCCAUUUCAAUCCCCUUUGAAUGAAGCAGCCGGAAUGCUCAACUUACUCAAUCUCUUUUGAUGAAAGUUUGAAUACUGUUGUUGUCAAAAACCAACUGGACAUACUGGUUCGCUUUUUUAAUUGAGCGACCCUGCUUGUCGAAACUCGUUAUUUGACAUCAGUCUUUCUUGGACACAUCCAAGCUACAAACCUUUUACCAACAAUCACAAAUGCUCUUGUCAAUUUAAACCUCAGAUUGAAGAAAAUCCAACACGUAAGCACAGAUGCUCCAAAUGUAAAUGUAAAACUGAUGAUGGAUUUAUGCUGUUAUCUGAAAGAUCUGUCUGGUGAAGAGGCUCCAGAGCCGUUUGAAGCAGGAACUUGCAGAAUACAUGCAGUGCAUGGCACAUUCGGCACAGGAAUUGAUGAGACUUACAUGGGCCAUGGGGAAAGACUUUUUUAAAAUGUUCUCGACAAUUUCUUUAUAAAUGGCCAGCUCAAAAGGCAAAUUUUGUUCAUAUGACAGGUUCGGAAAUUUUUCCCUUAAAAUUCUGUCACUGAAUGGGUAGAAAAUUAACCAGUGAUAAAACGACAUCAAGCCUUUUGUUCUAAAACUGAAGUAGAUAAAUUGUAAUCUAAAAAUGGUAAACUGAAUAAAGUAAAAAAAAAUUAUCUGAUGA